UAAUAAAUAAAAACCCCAAUAGAAAAGCGUCAAUCAUACGCAGCACUCGAUUACCAAAGCCGUGUGUCCUCUGCAUAUUCUGUCCCUUUUCUGCCGCUGCUGCUCGUUUUCUCUUCCGCGUCGCUUCUUCGCCUUUUCUAGAUCUCCGGAUUCGCGCCUGAUAUGUCUUCCUCCAAGCCCGCCGGAUCCAUCCAUGACUUCACCGUCAAGUUUGGUGGCCCACGGGAUUUAUGUUUUCUAUCGUCAUCGUGUGCUCCGUUUCCUUGUCUUUUUAGUGUGCUGACGGUGGCUCCUUUCGAAGAUCGAUUUUUUAGACUGAGUCGGCUGUUCGAUUUGGAGGAUUGCUCGAAAGAUGGGAUUUUGACAAGGGAUUGGUUGUUUUUAUCGUUGGUUUUGUUUUAAUUUGUCUUCCGGAGUCGGCAAGGAGGUUUAUUUUUGAAGAUCCACUGCCCUGUAGUUGUGGAUUUCUUGUGAUUAGGUCUUUCUUUGUGAUUGUUCUUGGUUCUAGGGAUGGAUCGAGUUUACCGUGGUUGUCGAUUCUUGGAACAUCUUUAAUCUUUUGUGAUGAUAUGCAACUUGAUGUAGUUUUUGAUGGUCAUUGGUUUCUUGUUCGGAACGAAUUCUUGAAGGAGUGUGGGGGAAGAAAACUUUUUCUCUGCGAGUGUGGGUGGUGAUGAUUGAUGAUGAUGAUCAUCUGUUGUAUGGCUUCCGAUGCAGGAUGCCAGGGGAAAUGAUGUGGAUCUUAGCAUUUAAAAAGGGAAGGUCUUGCUGAUUGUCAAUGUUGCAUCUCAAUGUGGGCUGACUAACUCAAACAACAUGGAACUGACUCAGCUAUAUGAGAAGUAAAAGGACAAAGAUUUUGAGAUUCUGGCUUUUCCAUGCAACCAAUUUGCUGGGCAAGAACCAAUGAGGAGAUUGUUGAGUUUGCUUGCACUCGAUUCAAAGCUGAAUAUCCGAUAUUUGACAAGGGAUCAACAUCAACCAUUGCAUUCCGAUCUCGGGCCAAUGCAUAUUGACAAACCAAACACCAGCAUUCAUCAUUCGAUAGUCCCUCCAAAUGGUAAGGGGGUGAGGUUGCCAUGAAGUUAGCAUCUUCUUCGAUUCUGGUGGUCACUAUUAUUUUACUUCCUUGAGCACCGGAGUACAAGAAGUUUUUUAUCCUCUCCCAGUCCUGUGGGCUCAUAUGCCAAACAUCAUCCAGAACAAGCAGACUCAUCAUUGCAGACUAGUCGAGAAAGAGAGAGUCGUCUUCCCGAUACCAGGCAUCCCAAAGAAAGGAAUCACUGUGAUGCUACGGUCAGUCACCUCAGCCAAUGGCAGCAACAUAUUUUUUAUCUUUCGCAUAUCACUCUCACGACCGAGAACCAGGGAAGGAGUUAGCGAGGUGGUCUGAUAACUCUGCUGCCUCAGGGGUGCACUGCGCUGAGUCAAUUCAGAUAAGGGGCAUCUCCUUGCUAUGGAAUCUAGUCUGUGUUCUCUGUCCUUUACCCUGAUGCAUAUUUCUCGAUUGAACAGUUCGCGCUUAGGGUUUAUGGGGGCCAAGAAAUUGCGCACCGAAGCAUAUUUGAUCAGCUGACGGCGUUGGCGUUCGGUUGCCACCUCGUCCAAGAUAUCAUUUGCAUCAUAUGCAGCCUGGCUGAGCUCAUUCAGCAAAUGCUUCACCGCGUUCCUAAUCUGUUGCCUCUCCUCUGCAUCAUUCAGUACAGCUUGAAUCAUGGCGACGGAGCUCUGCAGCUUUUUUAGUUCAGCAUCAAGGCCCUAGGCUGUUUGCCGUUCCUGCCACAGUUGAACCAAAUUGGAAGCCAACAGUGGUAUGACACCCGAGUGAAGCUCCAUUGAGGAACGUUUCUGAGAAGCUUCUGAAAAAGAAAAAGAUACAAGAUAACUGAGAAAAAAGAUUUAGGGCUUUUGUUAGAACUGUUGUAUGACAGCCAACAGAAUUCUGGGCUUGUGAGGAGAUGGUAGCUGAGCAAUCACACAUUGUGAAGGUGUGGUUAGAACUGCUUUGCCAUUAAGAUGGAGUUUUGGAGUGCUAUUUUACAGAGUGCUCAGAUUGCCAUUAGCUGAGCAAUCUCCUUGAAUCUUUAUCAUAUAAGGGAGUGCUCAGAGUGUCGCGAUGCUGGUACUAAGGGUUAACUGGUCUAUCAAUUUUAUUAAAUUCAAAUUAUUUAUCAAAAUAUUUAAAUAAAAUUUAUAUUAGUACUUCCAUUAAUCUCUGUAAGUCUAUCUUAGUCUUGUCUAAUUCCGACGUGGGAUUAAUAGGGAUAUUACAAGCUCCCGCACUUAAGUCUUAGAUGAUCAUGUUUUUCUUCCUUUUAGUUAGCAAGUUCUUUGAAGAUAAAAGGAAACAGAAAAUUGAGUUUGAUAGCGUUUUAGAAUGCAGGGACUUGAGAAAAGAGGAAUGGUGGCAACAGAUUCUGAUCACAACCUAAGAUUCAGAGAUGAUGCAACCUUGCUGUUGCAAUUGUAGAUGAGCAACUUGCUGCUUUUGUUCGCAAUCGUCAGUCUUCCUUGGUCUUUCAAUAUGGUCUUUCUAUUGAACAGUAUAAGGAAGCAACUUGGCUUUGUUAGCUGGAAUUUAAGGUCUUCCUUCCUCUUGUUCUGCUCGGUUGCAUUGUCAUGUCAAUUUCCAGGAGAGUUUCCCAGCGACUGCUGAUCGCUAUCUUUUUGGUGACAACAAAUCUUGUCUUUCUCUUAUUCGUGUUAAUAAUGGUUGUCUGAUAGCUACAAAUUUCUCCUAUUUAGCAGUUCUCAGGAAAUUCUCAAAACCUUCACAUUCAAGAAGAUGCUGGAGUCUUUAGAUGAAAGCUAUUCCAACUUUGGGACUCGUCAAAAUCAGAAGUCAUAGUUGACUGACUUGAGGAUAGACAACAAUAUGAAAUGAAGAACAAGUGCAUGAUAUUGGCAGACAGCCUAAUCGUUGAAGGUUUCUUGGUCUACUCUUUGAAUCCGUCAGUUGAGUAGUUUCAGACUAACGGAGGAUGAUCCAAACAGGGCAUGGUAAUAAUAUUUUGUGUAUUGCAAGCUGUCGACCGCAGAUUUGUCAUGAUUAAUCUUAAGAUAAGCUGCGUAUUUUUAUUAUCUGUAAUCUAAGAUAAUUGUGUUGGUGUGAGAUGAUCCACUUUGAUCAUGUAUACAAUUUUCCUCCCAAUUGAUGGAAUCAUGGUUGUGGUAAUAA
Molecule: long non-coding RNA, 3178 nt
Organism: Musa acuminata AAA Group (dessert banana)
Lineage: Eukaryota; Viridiplantae; Streptophyta; Magnoliopsida; Zingiberales; Musaceae
Exons: 5
Source: RefSeq, a predicted model, not a curated record